UGCUUUUGAAAAGUUUUUAAU
RNAcentral lists this non-coding RNA (21 nucleotides) under Caenorhabditis elegans. Lineage: Eukaryota; Metazoa; Nematoda; Chromadorea; Rhabditida; Rhabditidae. The record is from RNAcentral.